This 1748-nucleotide long non-coding RNA is filed under the name Triticum aestivum (bread wheat). Its description in RNAcentral is "long non-coding RNA (TAES_LNC006561)". Lineage: Eukaryota; Viridiplantae; Streptophyta; Magnoliopsida; Poales; Poaceae. The record is from RNAcentral.
UAAAAGGGAAAAUAUUCCGGCUUUUUAUUGCAUCUACCAAGGACAUGGUACACGAUAAUUCUGUUCAACCUAUACAUAAAUUCUGUUCACAAUAUUUCUGAUUCCCAUGAACGAACCAACAAAGAAAAAGACAAGCGCAACCACUCGAUGAUUGAUGCCCUUCAAGGAGGCAAGGAUCACCAAGGGUAAAUGCUACACCACACCACUUUUGUUUCCAAUACAAGUAGUGUGCACGCACAAGAUUACACCAAAGACUCAAUGGGGUGAUCAAUUAAAUUGGGAUUUCCCCCUAUUUUUCCUCGACAACCCAUCAUCUCAUCACACCAUGUAGAGACGGCAGCUUUAGCUUGACAACCAACACUCCAGGCUUGGGCAUUCCAAAGUUCCCUCCCCUCGCCUUGUAACAGCCAGGCCUUUCAGGGUUUUCUUUUCUUUCAUGUAGAUAUGCUCUCCCUCCUGUCAUCAUGUACAAAUAAACAAGUCAAGUUUCUCUAACGAGAAGACAAGGCAAAGAAUAUGCAGAUGGUAGUUUGGUUUCACAAGCAGAAUAGAAGCUAGGCUAGAGCAAAGCCUCGACGGCCUGGGUAAACCACAAAACACAAGACUUGCAGGCAUACUGGCAAUAUUUGACACACGUCUAAUUCAAAUGAGUAAACUCGUUCAACUACAUGACCCCACCAGGCAACCACCCCAGCCAUGGUAUGUGAAGUAAGAAUUUCCUACACAAUAACCUGGGCUGGGGUCCAGCCGCACCAAUCAAGCAGUGCAGCAAACUAAACCAGGGAUGGACCUCACCAUGGUACUUUGGUUUCAAAACCAGAAUAUAAACCCAUUUAUUUCUAAAAAAACCCUUGUAAUUCACAUGAGCAUCCAGUACAAUAAAUAAUUCAUUUUUGAAUACAAGCAGCAAAUAGCAUUACUAGGGCCAUAAAGUCUUGGAGAAUUUCUGCAAAUAGCAAUCGUUACUAGAGGAUUGCAAACACCCAUGUGUGCUGCUUUACUAGCAAUACAACCAAACCUAGCAUUCAGGUUCAACUAGCCUCAUAUAGGACCACCUCAACAGGCAGGAACCAGCCAACCUGCGAGUCUGAUGGCAUCAAGCAAGCAAGCAAUAAACCAAAAUAACCAAGAACAGACUCGACCUCACCCAGCCCUAGUAGUUUGGUUUCAUAACAAGAAAAUAAUAGAAAGUAGGCAGGCUAUAGAUACGUAGGUAAGCAAUUUUGACAAGAUUUGUAGAGGGAAAGCAGAGAUACCAUGAGGAGCUCCAUUGCCUUAUAGUUCUCCAAUUUCCUGCAAUGGGAAAUUUGAAAAAAACCGUCAAACCAUGAGUUUUCGACUUGCUUACACUAUGGUUGUUUCGACAUUCAAAAAAUAGAUGCCCUCAUGUUGGAUAAGAUCCCAACAAUUAAUGUACCAUGUUGUUCAUGGUUUCAACAGUUACAGAAGAAUCUAUCAACACAACUCAUACAUAACGGACGAAGAAUCUAUCAACACAAUACACAAGGACUAGAGUGGGAGGCAAUUCGAGAGAAAGCAUUAGAUGGAAAUGCAUCAGUUCCUUUCCAUCCAAUAUCCAGUGGCAUUCAAACAUCAUAAUCCGCUUGUAAAGACAACACUACCCAGUGCAAGUGUACACAACAGGAACAUGCAUCAUCAGAAAAGAGAGAGGCAAAAUUAAGUGAUGUUCCUCAUACCCAUGAAGGAACUCACCAGGCCAUGAAUCCUCUGCUAAACUCUAAUCCUCC